AAUGCAGUCGAGCGGACCGACGGGAGCUUGCUCCCUUAGGUCAGCGGCGGACGGGUGAGUAACACGUGGGUAACCUGCCUGUAAGACUGGGAUAACUCCGGGAAACCGGGGCUAAUACCGGAUGCUUGAUUGAACCGCAUGGUUCCAAUCAUAAAAGGUGGCUUUCAGCUACCACUUACUGAUGGACCCGCGGCGCAUUAGCUAGUUGGUGAGGUAACGGCUCACCAAGGCGACGAUGCGUAGCCGACCUGAGAGGGUGAUCGGCCACACUGGGACUGAGACACGGCCCAGACUCCUACGGGAGGCAGCAGUAGGGAAUCUUCCGCAAUGGACGAAAGUCUGACGGAGCAACGCCGCGUGAGUGAUGAAGGUUUUCGGAUCGUAAAACUCUGUUGUUAGGGAAGAACAAGUACCGUUCGAAUAGGGCGGCACCUUGACGGUACCUAACCAGAAAGCCACGGCUAACUACGUGCCAGCAGCCGCGGUAAUACGUAGGUGGCAAGCGUUGUCCGGAAUUAUUGGGCGUAAAGCGCGCGCAGGCGGUUUCUUAAGUCUGAUGUGAAAGCCCCCGGCUCAACCGGGGAGGGUCAUUGGAAACUGGGGAACUUGAGUGCAGAAGAGGAGAGUGGAAUUCCACGUGUAGCGGUGAAAUGCGUAGAGAUGUGGAGGAACACCAGUGGCGAAGGCGACUCUCUGGUCUGUAACUGACGCUGAGGCGCGAAAGCGUGGGGAGCGAACAGGAUUAGAUACCCUGGUAGUCCACGCCGUAAACGAUGAGUGCUAAGUGUUAGAGGGUUUCCGCCCUUUAGUGCUGCAGCAAACGCAUUAAGCACUCCGCCUGGGGAGUACG
Molecule: ribosomal RNA, 850 nt
Filed under: uncultured Bacillus sp.
Lineage: Bacteria; Bacillati; Bacillota; Bacilli; Caryophanales; Bacillaceae
Description: bacterial SSU rRNA
Rfam family: Bacterial small subunit ribosomal RNA
Source: RNAcentral